Homo sapiens (human) is the source of this 1860-nucleotide long non-coding RNA. Lineage: Eukaryota; Metazoa; Chordata; Mammalia; Primates; Hominidae. The record is from Ensembl.
AUUGAAUGAUUUCAUACGACUAUCUGGAUUUCUGGCUUCUCUUGAAAACUGAACAUCUGGUUUCACCUUCCCUCCUGGCUGGGAUUGUGGCUGCCAUCCCAUUUUAGAUGGGUCACCCUUUCUCCGGUUUUCAACAUUCCCCAUCACUGCGUAUAGCUGUACUGUUCAAUAAGGUCAUGGGUGAAAUUGAAAUUCCAGACCGCCCUUCUUCGUGGCAAACCUUUAGAAAUUAGAUUGUACUAGGUCAGUGCUUCUGAAACCUGAAUGUGAACCCCUGGGUGAGAUUAUGAUUCAGUUGGUCUAAGGUGGGACCCACAAAUCUGCAUUUUGACACGUGCCAAGAAGAGGCCAGUGCUGCUAGUCCGGGACCAUACUCUGAAAGACUGUAAACACCAUGUGAAUAGAGAUGACUUCUGUCUACUUCCAUGAGCUCUAGAGCAUCCACAAGCUCCUUACACAUGAGACGAUCAGAGCAUCAGUGGCAACUGAAUGAGACAUGCCAGUUUGGGCUCAGGCUCCAAGAGGACACAUCCAAGUACAUCUCCACGACCAGGAGGUUCAUGCGCUUGGUCCUCUGUGCGUUAAGGGAGCUUGGGCAUUUAUCCAUGACUUUGCACACCUGGUACCCAAGCUGUGAUUUCAGGAUUCUAGGUCUUCAUCUGGAGCAAAGCUGGAGUGUGACUCCAGGGGCCCAGGAAGGCCAAUCUUCAUCCUAAGCCUCUGUAAGAAUAGGGCCAACUUGAAGCUAGUAUGUGUAACUCCGUGCAUUUUCUCCAGAGACGCUGGAACCAUAGGCUUGGCCAAAAAAAGAUGGGAUGUACUAAUCAGUGAUUUAUAACAUGCUGUCAGAAGUCCAAAGCUGCCUGGAGGUGCCCUGUACCAACUUGCUACAUAGUUUAUUGGAAAAACAUAGAUGGAUGGUUGGCACCUGGUUUCAGUUAUUAUGCCUGGUUACUUAGACUGGUUUGGGCUAUGUGACCAGAGGGAAAUAAGAUGAACAUAUGCCUUGGCUUCCCUGAGGCCCAGUUCUUCCCCAUGCACUAGGGGGUUCACGAUGCAGAGGCCGAACCAGUCCCGUGCGACUGAGGGGGGCCUUAGCAACUGCUCGUGGAUGCUGUGGAUCUUCCUGAAGUUGCUCCGAGUUUUCUUACUCUUAUUGUUCUGUAUCCUUUGCCUGUAAUAAAACCAUUCAGGGCCAGGUGCGAUGGUUCACGCCUGUAAUCCCAGCACUUCGGGAGCCCAAAGCAGAAGGAUUGCUUCAGCCCAGGAGUUCAGAACCAGCCUGGGCAACAUGGCGAGACUCUGUCUCUCUUUGAAAUAUAAAAAAAAAAAAAUUGAAAAGAAAAACCUUUCAGACCUUUUACUUUGUUGGAGUCUUGUGAGUCCUUUUGAUGAUCUGACCCAGCAUGAUUGCUGCAACCUCUCUUGAUGCUCGGCUCUAGUUCCUGGCAGUUUCCUCUUGACAUCCAGACUGUAGAAUCUUCAGGGCUCAUGGGCUCUGGCCCCUGCUUCUUAAGGAGGAGAAGGUGGAGCCAUGGGGACCUAACCCACAUCUCAUGGAGGUGACGGCAGGGCAGUGGAGCCUCAGCCUGAAGAUGAAUUGCCUAUAAUCACUGAGCAAGUUAGACGGGAAGAAAAUAAAUAUGACUUAUAAACCCAUUACCCAGAGACAACAAUGGCCCGCAUUGUAAUACACCAUCUUUUAGCCUGUUUUCUCUACAUAUAUAUUUACAUAUAAUUGAGAUGUAUUGAACACACCAUUUGAUAUCCUACUCUUUACCUCAACUUUGCAUUAUAAGCAUUAGCUGACGAUUUUUAUAAAGACUCCAUUUCUUCAUUUGUAAAAUGAGAAUAAUAGUA